GAUGAACGCUGGCGGCGUGCCUAAUACAUGCAAGUCGAGCGAACAGACGAGGAGCUUGCUCCUCUGACGUUAGCGGCGGACGGGUGAGUAACACGUGGAUAACCUACCUAUAAGACUGGGAUAACUUCGGGAAACCGGAGCUAAUACCGGAUAAUAUAUUGAACCGCAUGGUUCAAUAGUGAAAGACGGUUUUGCUGUCACUUAUAGAUGGAUCCGCGCCGCAUUAGCUAGUUGGUAAGGUAACGGCUUACCAAGGCGACGAUGCGUAGCCGACCUGAGAGGGUGAUCGGCCACACUGGAGCUGAGACACGGUCCAGACUCCUACGGGAGGCAGCAGUAGGGAAUCUUCCGCAAUGGGCGAAAGCCUGACGGAGCAACGCCGCGUGAGUGAUGAAGGUCUUCGGAUCGUAAAACUCUGUUAUUAGGGAAGAACAAAUGUGUAAGUAACUAUGCACGUCUUGACGGUACCUAAUCAGAAAGCCACAGCUAACUACGUG
RNAcentral lists this ribosomal RNA (497 nucleotides) under uncultured bacterium. RNAcentral's name for it is "partial 16S ribosomal RNA". It matches the Rfam family "Bacterial small subunit ribosomal RNA", at positions 28 to 507 of the family's 1533-position model. The record is from RNAcentral.